This 459-nucleotide ribosomal RNA is filed under the name uncultured bacterium. RNAcentral's name for it is "partial 16S ribosomal RNA". It matches the Rfam family "Bacterial small subunit ribosomal RNA", at positions 338 to 795 of the family's 1533-position model. The record is from RNAcentral.
CCUACGGGUGGCAGCAGUGAGGAAUAUUGGUCAAUGGACGCAAGGCUGAACCAGCCAAGCCGCGUGAAGGACGAAGGUGCCAAGCAUUGUAAACUUCUUUUGUCAAGGGACAAAAUCAGGCUCGAGAGCCUGACCGAGGGUACUUGAAGAAAAAGCAUCGGCUAACUCCGUGCCAGCAGCCGCGGUAAUACGGAGGAUGCGAGCGUUAUCCGGAUUUAUUGGGUUUAAAGGGUGCGUAGGCGGACGGUUAAGUCAGCGGUAAAAGCCCGGGGCUCAACCCCGGCGAGCCGUUGAAACUGGCUGUCUAGAGAUGUCGAGAGGUAUGCGGAAUGCGCAGUGUAGCGGUGAAAUGCUUAGAUAUUGCGCAGAACUCCGAUUGCGAAGGCAGCAUACCGGCGGCGAUCUGACGCUGAGGCACGAAAGCGUGGGUAUCGAACAGGAUUAGAUACCCCAGUAGUC